GAUGAACGCUGGCGGCGUGCCUAAUACAUGCAAGUCGAGCGAACAGAUGAGGAGCUUGCUCCUCUGACGUUAGCGGCGGACGGGUGAGUAACACGUGGAUAACCUACCGAUAAGACUGGGAUAACUUCGGGAAACCGGAGCUAAUACCGGAUAAUAUAUUGAACCGCAUGGUUCAAUAGUGAAAGACGGUUUUGCUGUCACUGAUAGAUGGACCCGCGCCGCAUUAGCUAGUUGGUAAGGUAACGGCUUACCAAGGCAACGAUGCGUAGCCGACCUGAGAGGGUGAUCGGCCACAAUGAAACUGAGACACGGUCCCGACUCCUACGGGAGGAGGCAGUAGGGAAUCUUCCGCAAUGGGCGAAAGCCUGCCGGUGCAACGCCGCGUGAGUGAUGAAGGUCUUCGGCUCGUAAAACUCUGUUAUUAGGGAAGAACAAAUGUGUAAGUAACUAUGCACGUCUUGACGGUACCUAAUCAGAAAGCCACGGCUAACUACGUG
This 497-nucleotide ribosomal RNA is filed under the name uncultured bacterium. RNAcentral's name for it is "partial 16S ribosomal RNA". It matches the Rfam family "Bacterial small subunit ribosomal RNA", at positions 28 to 507 of the family's 1533-position model. The record is from RNAcentral.